RNAcentral lists this long non-coding RNA (2931 nucleotides) under Anas platyrhynchos platyrhynchos (common mallard). RNAcentral's name for it is "lncRNA (ENSAPLG00000028907.1)". Lineage: Eukaryota; Metazoa; Chordata; Aves; Anseriformes; Anatidae. The record is from RNAcentral.
CCAGCUCCAUCCCCAGCGGGGAGCAGUCGGUUCUCAGCUCCCAUGCCCACGGCUGGCACACCUCGGAUGUACGGCCCUGCACCAGGCAGCGGGCCCAGCGAUCAGAAGCUGGCAGAACUAUGGAAAAAAUCACCCCAAAAGAAGUUAGAGCAGCUCAAGAAGAAGAUCCAGGAGCAGAAGCAGCAAGCGGCAUCCCGGGCGCAGCAGUGCCAGGCUGCAGCGUGUGCUGGGGGGCUGCCACCAAAGAGCCCCCUGAGGAGGAAGGUGUGCACGGUGGUGUCGGCUCCUCCCGCUCCGGUUUGCAGAGACCAAAAGGAGAGAAGUUCAGCGCAGAGAAUUCAAGCACAAAGCCAGAGGCAGCCUUCACCCAAAUCCUCCAAGCUGGAGAGAACAGCGGCAAGUAAAGAUACAAAGCUACCCGGUGCUUCUGCAUGGAGAGAAGGUCAGAAGCUGGCUAGGCAGUUGCUUGGUCCACCCCCUGCAUUUCCAAAGCUGCAGAGCACAGCUGAGGAGCAGACCACUGGAAACACCUUGGAGCCUGAGCGAGGAUUUGUAGCAAUGCCAGCAAUGGAAAACAGCUCUAGAGAAAAUGGAAAUGAACCUGGGGGGAAAAGCCCUGAAUUCACAAGCUGCACAGUUCCCCCCCACAGGCCCGUUGGAGGGAGCAGCAGUGCACCAGCCAAGGAUACAAACCCAGUACUCAGCAACCUGCAUCUGCAAAGCCAGUGGCAGGAGGAACACAGACGUAGCAGGCUCCCAGAAGACACUGUGAGAGCAGAGGCAGAAGUUCUGCAGCAAUAUCCUGGGAUCCGUUCUCCUUCACCUGAAGCUCAGAGCACGACUCCCCCUGCCUUCACUGAGGACAAGAUAAGAGCUUCGUUAAUAAAGGCUGGAGCCAAGCCCGGCAGCUCUAGAAAGUGCAGCACAUCUCCUCAGGGAUGGAAAGGCUCAAACAGCCCUCUGCAGAAAGGGUCUGAGAAGGAAAACCUUAAGCACCCUUCAAAGAGGAGGGUAAAUGUUAGAAAACCUCACCCCUACAGCCCUGAAGUUGUUCGGGAAUAUAUUCAUAGAAAGAAUAAAGAGAGAAAGAAAAAAAAGCUAGAAGAGAAAAAGUCUCUGAUGAAAGCCAUGGAAAUGAGGAAUAAGAGGCUGCAAGAAGUAUACAGGAAACAGAGAGAAGCUGUUGGAAAGAAAACACGUUCAGAGCAGACACACAGCCCGAGCAGGGGAACAGCUGCUGUGACACAAAGCCCUCGGUGUGCGCUUGAACAGGAGCAAACCAGUGGUCCAAUCCUGGAGAGGAGUUUCAUGGCCUGGGUGGAUGAAACACCCCAUACUCUACUAAAUAAAGAUCACAGAGACAGGGAUCAGCUUCUAAGAGGUCAAUCACCUAAAAACAGAGAGACAUUACCUUCUGCAGCAGCACUGGGAUCUGAAUGCUGGUUCCUGAGUCCUCUGAAACGUGAAGAUUUGGGGGACUGCUCUCCCCCAGCUCUCUCUAUACCUCCUCUCAGCUUUUCCCUUCCUCAGAAAGAUGCAAAACUGGACUCCAAGGACUCGGUUUCUGGUCUUUCUCCAUACAGAAAUAAGUGGGAUCGAGUGAAAGCCAUACACAAUCUAUCCAAGGAACUCGCAGAGAAGAUUGAGAUGUCAACCAAGAGACUCAGUGCAACAAGCAGGGCUGGGGACUUUGCUGACAAAACAGCAGCAGAGACAACUUGGGACCUUUUCAACAAGUCUUCUAUCACGGAGCCUGAGACUUCCAAGGAUGAGCAAGACAGGACCAUGACCUUACAAAUGCUUCUGGGAGACCCAGAUCCUGCUGAGUUACGUGUGUCCUCAGACAGGGCAUUUCAUGGGCUGGGCAGGAUCGGCCUUGUGGGCACUGAGGGAGCAACGAGCCAGGCCAGCCAGAAGAAAAUACCCACUGCUUUGUCUGGGGGGAGUGCUGGGGGCAAGGAAUUACCAUGGAACACCCACAGCAUGAAAUCAAGGCAUCUCAGCCCUGGGGAACACAGGAGCAGCACACUGAAAGGUUUCCCUAUGAAUAAAGGCUCCGAGGUGGACAUGAGCCUACUGCAUGAAAAGCCAAUAACCAGCCCAGCCUUUCCAUCUCGUGGAUUCCUCACUAGAAGCCUGCAGAGAGAACCCACAGCUCAGAGGAACCACCGCUGGCCUGAGACGAUCCUGGAAGUUCAGCAUCGGGAGGGAAUUGCCUGCUGGUCUCCUCCAGAGAGCCUGAGGACACCGGACGGCCUCAGAACCCAGCUCUCUGCCACUCCAACGAAUGGAUCAAAGACUCGAGGUGGCUUCAAGCAGGACUUUGAUUCUGCAGGUGCAGCGGAAAGUGAUUUAAUAAAUAGCAUUCUGUAAAAAAAAGAAGACUGAGUGUAUGAACAUUGAAGCUAUCUGGGUAUGCAGUAAAAUGCCAUUCAUCAUAAGGUAAGAGGACAUGAAGUUUAGCCAGAUGGUAUUUUCUUUGAUGCAGGAUGUCACAACACAAGAAAUGCAUCUGGCAAUAGCCACAGUCAGGAAAACUGUGUUCAAGAGGAGGGAAAACAGAUCAGAACAAACUUUUUAUUCACCUUCAGAUCACUACCAUUGGUCAGUCCUUGAGCAGAAUGGCAAUAACAUUGUUCAGUUUGAAGCACAAAUUGAAAAUACUUCCUGACAGCAACAGAUUCCUGUACUUCAGAAUGGCCCAAAUGUUAGCAAUGAAACUACUCAGACAACUCAGCAUCAAUAGAUUUAGGUUGUAAUUUUUUUGUAUAAGGUUACCUUAUUUCUUUGUAUUUAAGGGGACAUCCUCAUCUAGUUGUUGAAAAUGAUGAGCCAUCUGUAUAUCUAUUGAAGAGCUGUUCAGUUGCCUUUUUUUUUUUUUUUUUUUAUUACAUUGCUUAAAACAAGUAAUAAAAGUUCCUUGUAGAAACA